ACUCCUACGGGAGGCAGCAGUUAAGAAUCUUGCGCAAUGGGCGCAAGCCUGACGCAGCGACGCCGCGUGCGCGAUGAAGGCCUUCGGGUUGUAAAGCGCAAUAGACAGGGAAGAAGAAAGUGACGGUACCUGUUGAAAGCACCGGCUAACUACGUGCCAGCAGCCGCGGUAAU
RNAcentral lists this ribosomal RNA (173 nucleotides) under uncultured bacterium. RNAcentral describes it as "partial 16S ribosomal RNA". It matches the Rfam family "Bacterial small subunit ribosomal RNA", at positions 335 to 524 of the family's 1533-position model. The record is from RNAcentral.